Molecule: long non-coding RNA, 539 nt
Organism: Gymnodraco acuticeps
Lineage: Eukaryota; Metazoa; Chordata; Actinopteri; Perciformes; Bathydraconidae
Exons: 2
Source: RefSeq, a predicted model, not a curated record
GGAGAGGAGGAGAGCAGGAGCAGAGGACGGAGGACGGAGCAGAGACAUCAUCACAGAGAGACAUGUGAGCGGGACAUGCUGGAGGAGCAGGGCAAUAGAACACUACAGAAUCUUACCUGAUUUGACCUGAUUUGAAUGAAAGCUGGUGACUACAACAGAACCAGGAUCCCCACUGAAGUCUGGACUGAUGUGAAUCACAGGGUUGACCACAUGAUUUCCCCCUUUGGAUAACAUCACAGGAGGGCAUGGUGGGGGGGGGGUUUCCAGGUGCUUUUCUAGUCUUUCUAGUUUUUCCAAAACAAGAUAUGUGCCAUUAGAGAAACCAGCUGUUUCCAGACUGCUGCCUCUCUUGGUCUGGUCACUCCCAAUCCUUGUACCAGUGUCUGAUUUCUCACUGACGCUGGACAGGUUUGGGGGGGGCUGUGCUAAGGACUGCUGUACUCCAUUAUCUCCUGCUGACUUUUCCUUCUCCUCUCAUUGGUUUUUGGACUUUUGUGAUUACUUAUGUGCAUCUCAAUUAAAACGUAGAAACCUUUGAA